This 253-nucleotide ribosomal RNA is filed under the name uncultured bacterium. Its description in RNAcentral is "partial 16S ribosomal RNA". It matches the Rfam family "Bacterial small subunit ribosomal RNA", at positions 524 to 776 of the family's 1533-position model. The record is from RNAcentral.
UACAGAGGUCCCAAGCGUUGUUCGGAUUCACUGGGCGUAAAGGGUGCGUAGGCGGUCGGGCAAGUCUGAUGUGAAAUCUCACAGCUUAACUGUGAAACUGCAUUGGAUACUAUCCGGCUAGAGGAAUGGAGGGGAGACUGGAAUACUUGGUGUAGCAGUGAAAUGCGUAGAUAUCAAGUGGAACACCAGUGGCGAAGGCGAGUCUCUGGACAUUUCCUGACGCUGAGGCACGAAAGCGUGGGGAGCAAACAGG